CAGAUGAAUACUGUCAAUGUCACUUUUGGCAAAGUUCAUUGAACGUUGCAAAAAUAUUACACUUUUGCAACGUUCAACGCAUGUUGCUAAAACACCCUCUUGCAGCGUUCCUUGAACGUUGCGAAAAGUGACAUUUCGCAAUGUGUAUAUGAAUGUUGCGAAACAUCUCACCCAUUUCUUUAAAAUAUUAACCUAACUUAGAUAAUUCCCAUUUCACAACUUCCUUCCCAGUUCUUGCCCUCGGUUGCGGACGUGACCAUGUCUCUCUCUCAUGCUUCACCAUCUCCAAAUCUCCACUUCAAAGUCUACAUGUUGCUUCUUGAGUAGUUGAGUUAAUCCAUUGCUCUCAUCCACCUUCUACACAGUGCCAGUCGCCAACCCAAUUUCCUAUUCUUUUAGUAAACAUUAAUUCCUUAAUGUUUUCUUGGGCGCACCCCUUUAUAAUUGAAAGCUAGAAUUUUCUUGAUUUUGGGUCGAUUUUGGAGAGAAGGGAUAGUGGGUAUUGUGAAAAAUGAAGAAAUGGGUAUUGGCUGCGCCUUUUUACUUCGCAUUUUGCGUGAGGAUUGAAGCUUUCAAGUUUCAUAAAACCCAACAAACUGAGAGAAUCUCGGUUAAGAAUAAUUAUGUUAAUUUCAACUCGUUGAGAUUUCACCUAUUAGUUGUUGAUUUAGCUAAAAUCUUAUUGGUUUUAUCGGAUUUUUUGGAUUGAUUUGAGCAACCUGAGAGGUUGGUAUUAAUAACUUCUUUUCAAUUCUGGGGGUUGAAUUCGGAAUGCAGUUAGGGUUCUAUUAUGACGUGGGCAGUGUUGAGGAUUGGCUAUAUAUUAUAUAAUUUUUCAAUUUUUGUGAAGAAAUUGUGAAAGAUAAGUUAGUGAAUGAUAAUUCUUGUUAUAGUGAAGCAUUGAUGAAUGAUUCAAUUGCAUUGGUUAUUGACGUUUUGAUUCAAUAGAGUCACUAAUGAAGGUUUGUUCAGUUAGGAUGCAUUUUCGAACAAGACUGAGAAUUAUUUAUCAAUUUUAUUUGAAUGAAUCCUUUUUUUGGGGAUUUCAAUAUGAAAAUUCCUAGUUAAGUAUGGUAGACUGUUCAUUAAUUUUCCUUGGUUCUUACUUUAACAUUUUUAUUUUCUGAAUAAUCGAGAUUCUGCAAUUUUUUUGGGGUGAAAUUUAAUUUAUUUGUUUUAGACUCUGGGUUUUGGUUUUUACGUUUUUCUGUUUCAGAUGCUGAGUGGGUGGGGUUUGCUAUUUCGUAAGCUCUACACAUUUUUAGCUGAGUUUGAGUUUUCUACUUUCUUCAGGUUCUGGGUUUUGUAUUGAAAUUGUUAUUAGCAGAGGAUUUGACAGAUCUGUUGAAGACUCAUUUUUUAGCCUAUUUUCUGGGUUUUUUCGAGACAUAGGUUCUGGGUUUUAGCCUUCCAAAAAAAGAUGUUCCGUCAAUAGAUCUGUUUAGUGUAGAAUUUGAGCCUUGUGGAAAUAUAUUGUAAGACAAUCCCUUAGGCAGCAUCUAUAUAUAGAGAGAUGAAUAAAAGGAAACAAAAAGAAUAUGUUGCACAUCCAAUGUCUCAUCACCAUUGGAAACUCUAAUAUUAUGGCUUAACAUUUCGAUUUAUUUCUUAAUUGUAUCUUUUUGGAUAGAAAUAAGUGAAAGUUAUUAUUGGCAAUGGCAAACAAUAUUUUUAGAAAUAAGGAAAAGUCUCUAACCAAUUUCAUUUCACAAGAAAAAAGGGGAAAAAAAGAAAUAAGUAAGAAGUAAAGAGUAUAGAUGAAUUGACUGGAAUGAUAAUUAGAUUGUUUAUUGGAUUAUGCUAUUUGUUUUCCCUCUAUUGGGGAAGCCAAGGCUUUGUAAGUUUCUGGAAAUAGAAUAAAUAAAUUUGAAUUUAAGUCUCUUAGUCAAGAUGCAGUGCCUCUGAUUAUGAAAUAUGACGAUUUUCCAGUUUCAACAUUGGUACUGUAUAACUUUUUAUUGGUUUUUCGAUUUUUUUGUAUUGGUGGCUAUUCAUCAGUAUUUUAAGAGCAAAAAAUUUAUGGAGUUUAUCUAUGUGAUUCUAGAAGGGCUAAGAAAGUUUAUUUAUUUAUUACUUUUUUAAUGCAUUUUUCAGAUUCAAGGUUUACACAACGAACUUCCGACAUGCAAGCCUAUUCUUACACCUAAAUGGGUAAAUGUUCCAAGUUUUUUCAUACUUCUAUUGCCUUUCAGUUUCUGGUUAGUCAUCAACAUUUGGAAAAUUUAUUCGACUAGUAAUUAUUCCAUCUAAGCACUCUUUUCCAUCUAAGGUUCCUGUAUAGUCAAGACUUCUCCCAAAGAGUUUAAUUUGACCAAUUGCUAUUCCAAUGUUUUCUGUAAUGCCUUUUUAUGGUUACAUAAUCCCAGUAGCACACUUCUCUAGACUAACACAUUGUUAACAAAAUUAUAUUUAUUGAUGUUUUGAUGGCUGUACCAUCUUAGUUCGUUCCUUUUACUUUAUUUUGUAAUAUAAUAUUUUUUCAAGCUACGUAGAGAAUUUUUCAUCUAGCCAAGACAUGGUUUCUUGCUAUUAUAUCAAACGGUAAAGAGGGUUGCCUGUUUAUAUACCAAUUAUGGGGUUUUCCGAAAGGUUUAACGGAUUGAAGCUGCGAUAUAUGAAUGUAAAAUAUUCAGUUGGUAGAAAGUGUUGGAACAAUAUGGAUUGCAACAGACAAUGAGAUUGAGGUUGCUCCUUGGUCUCUAAUUAUUUUUAGAUGGAAGAUAUAUCUUCGUUGACAUUCUUUGAGGUCGUAAAUAUGCUUCUAGAAAUAAAUUCAAGUUUCUUACAUAAACAAAUGUUAGAUUUCGGAAUUAACUUGUGUAUAACAAUGGAUAUACUAGUGAUAUAAACCAAUGGAGGAUGACGAAGAUAUAUGAUGAUGAGAUGUUAGUGGCUAACAAGAUAACAAUGACAUUGACUUUUUUGUGCCUUUUUUGCAUAGAACUAGUUACCAAGUCAAAUUUAUUACUUUAUGCACGGUACCUUCUUGAUUUUUUCUACUUCUGUUUUUACAGUUUUUUUCCCCAUGAAAGUACAGGUAUUAAUAAGUUCUAGUUAUUUUUAAAAAUAUGAUUCUAUCUUUCAAGUAUAUAACUACUCGAUUUCUUUCUGUGUAUUGCCCUUUAUUAUGAUUCAGAAGAAAAUCAACUUGAUAUAUUCCUGGUUUGCAGAUUCGAAACAUGCUAUCAGAUUGCUUUGGCAAUAAAGGAUGGGGUGGAGGAUUUUUAGAAGGCAGGCACUACUUAAUUUGAAACCUGUUACCAUUACUUUUUUUUUUUUUUUUUUUUUUUUUUUUUGGGGGGGGGGGGGGGGGGGGGGAAUCUAUUGGUUUUUAUGCGCGUCAGAAUUUUGGAUCUAAAUUUUGUAUACAUAUUUUGUUACAUUUUGGAGUACAAUUAUUAAUGACUAUUGAA
RNAcentral lists this long non-coding RNA (3413 nucleotides) under Olea europaea subsp. europaea. The record is from RNAcentral. Lineage: Eukaryota; Viridiplantae; Streptophyta; Magnoliopsida; Lamiales; Oleaceae.